CGUGGAGAUACAAUAGCUGCUGCUACUGGAAAGCGAAUUGUUUUGCCCUCUUCUUUCACAGGUGGACCUCGAUAUAUGGUUCAGAACUAUCAAGAUGCCAUGGCCAUAUGCAGAACUUUUGGAAAUCCUGAUAUCUUCCUGACAUUUACUGCCAAUCCAAAUUGGCCCGAGGUCAAAUAUAUGCUUCAUGAAAUACCGGGUCAGCCUGUUGAAGAUAGGCCAGACAUAAAGACACGAGUAUUUAAAAUGAAACUUGACCAAUUAAUGAAGCACAUAGUAGAAGGACAAUAUUUUGGCAAGGUUCUAUCAGGUAAAUCCAUUUCAUAUCAUCUAUUUACAAUGUCUUUUACAUUGACGAUAUUCUAACGCAUAUUUAUUUUAUAUUCUAAAAUUACAGCCAUAUAUACAAUAGAGUUCCAAAAAAGAGGACUACCACAUGCACACAUUCUUUUAUGGAUGCAUGCAAGUAAUAAGUAUCCGACACCAGCGGAUAUAGAUAAAAUUAUUACUGCAGAAAUGCCUUCAAAGGAAGACGAUCCGGCCGCUUUUAAUGCAGUGCAACAAUUCAUGUUACACGGCCCAUGUGGACUUGCAAAUACAAAUGCACCUUGCAUGCCUGACGGUGUUUGUAACAAAAACUUCCCCAAGAAGUUUUGUGCUGAAACAAUAAUUGAUAAGGAUGGGUUUCCAACUUAUAGAAGGAGAGAUGAUGGAAGACAUGUGACAAAAAAAAAUGUAAAUCUGGAUAACAGAUAUGUCGUUCCAUACAAUAGAGAUUUAUUGCUAGCAUUUCAAGCACAUCUGAAUGUUGAAUGGUGCAACAAGUCCAGAGCUAUAAAGUACCUAUUUAAGUAUAUCCACAAGGGCCCAGAUAGAGCAACAGUUCUAAUAGAAGAAAAUGUUUCAGGCAACACAGCAACAAAUGCAACGCAAAUAACAACAGUUGAUGAGAUCAAAACAUUCUUGGAUUGUAGGUACGCCAGUGUCUCACAAUUUUUAAUUGAAUACAUGUUUCAUAGCAAAAACGUAAAACAAAAUUUAAAUUUCAUUCGUUGAAAAUGCAUAUUCUUAUCACAUUCAGAUGAAUAGUUAAAAUAUUUGGAAUUAUUAUUAUUGAUGCAACUUUUGCAUGCAGAUGUGCCCAUUUUAACAAUUAUUGUAACAAAUUACAUAUAAUACUAAAUGUAUAAACUUUCCAACAUUUAUAUAAAAAACAUUCAGGUAUGUAUCGGCGUGCGAAGCAUGCUGGAGGAUAUUUAAGUUUGAUAUACACUACCGAAGUACGGCUGUUACGAGAUUGAGCUUCCAUUUACAGGAAGAAAACUCAAUCACUCUAAGAGAUUCAGAUCAACUGAAAGCCGUCGUUGCAAGAGAACGGAUUCAAGAAACGAUGUUCACGGAGUGGAUGAGAAUGAAUUCAAUGAACCAACAGGCGCGCAAGUUAACAUAUUCUGAGUUUCCCACAAAAUUUGUUUGGGAUAAUGGAAUUAAAAAAUGGAAAGAGAGGACGUUUGGAAAUACAAUUGGAAGAAUCUUUUAUGCACACCCAACAUCUGGUGAGAGGUAUUAUUUGAGAAUUUUGUUGAAUAUUGUUCGAGGGCCAAAAAACUUUGAAAGCAUUAAAACCGUUAAAGGGGUGACUUAUGCAACUUUCAAAGAAGCAUGUUAUGCACGUGGGCUAUUGAAUGAUGACAAAGAGUGGAUUGAUGCAUUCAAUGAAGCAUCACACUGGGCCACAGGUUCUCAAUUAAGAGAAUUGUUUGUUGCUGUUCUAUUCUUUUGCGAGGUAACAAAUAUAGCAAAGCUAUGGGAAAAUAUUUGGCAAAUAUUGUCAGAUGAUAUUGUCUACAAAAAAAGAAGACUCUUUCGCCACUAUGGCUUGCAACUUAGUGAUAAACAGAUCCAGUCUUACUGCUUGAUUGAAAUUGAAAAGAUUUUGGUAAGAAAUGGAAAGGAACUUUCUGAGAUUGAUGGAAUGCCAUUACCCGAUGAUGCAUCCUUGGCGGCCAAGGAUAAUCGACUUAUUACAGAAGAACUUAAUUAUAAUGCUGACGAGUUGAGGAAAGAACAUGAAAGAUGUCAUCAAUUCCUAAAUGACAAGCAGGUUGAAGUAUAUAAUCAUGUUCUAAAUGCUGUCAAUGCUGAUACGGGAGGAUUAUACUUUGUAUAUGGCCAUGGAGGAACAGGGAAGACUUUCCUAUAUAGGACGAUCAUAGCAAAACUAAGAUCGGAAGGAAAAAUAGUACUUGCUGUUGCGUCUUCGGGUAAUCCAAAACUUUCUAUACAAUUCUUAUAUACAAAAUUGUUGACUAUUUGUGAGGUAGCUAUGCCAAACUUUUUCUACAACAAUAAAUAUGUGAACCUAUAUAAUUGUAUGCUUAGACAAUCAGACGACCAAGUCAAUUUAUAUGAAUUGACAUAGUCGACCUUACUUAGAUUUUUUUUUUAUUGUCAUAAUGAAUUUAUUGUGGGAUGAAUGCAAAAUAUUUAUGUUGACCACCAGCAUGAGAGUGACAGAUACUAUACCAUUAGGAGAACAACAUAUGUCAGCAUGUGAAUUUAAUAAGUGGCUCCUUCAAAUUGGUGAUGGAAAGGUUGAAGCAAAGUGUAGAGAUCAGGAAGAGGUUGCAUCAUGGACAAAAAUACCAAUUCAAUUUCUUAUCGAACCAGCCGAUGAUCCGUUGAAACAAAUUGUCCAAAGCACAUAUCCAGAAUUGAGUAAGAAUUUCAGGAAUGAAGAAUAUCUCAGAGAAAGGGCAAUACUCACUCCUCUAAAUGAGACUGCUGAUGAGAUAAAUGAUUACAUUGUUCAGUUAACUGAAGGACCAAUAAAAGAGUAUAGAAGCUCAGAUGAGAUUGACAAGACAACUGACAAUCUUUCAGAACAAGAACUCAUGUACCCUGUAGAAUUUCUAAACUCCAUGAAGAUUAAUGGAUUUCCUAACCAUUGUUUGGAACUAAAAGAAGGAUUGCCUGUUAUGUUAUUGAGGAACAUUAAUCCUGCAUUAGGAAUGUGCAAUGGGACGAGGCUAAUUAUCACACAUCUAGGAGAUUGGGUAAUAGAGGCAAAAAUAAUUACAGGAUGCAAUGUUGGAUCAAAGGUAUUGAUCCCGAGAAUUGUUCUCACAUCUGACGACUCUAAGUGGCCUUUUCAAUUGCGCAGAAAGCAAUUCCCAUUGAAGGUAUGCUAUGCAAUGACGAUAAACAAGAGUCAGGGUCAGUCGUUAAACUACAUGGGAUUAUAUCUGCCACGACCUGUAUUCAGUCAUGGACAGUUAUAUGUGGCAUUUUCAAGAGUUACUUCACCAAAGGGUUUAAAAAUUCUGAUUAUUGAAGAAGAUCAGAAUUACAAGCAGUACACUAAAAAUGUUGUAUACCAUGAGGUAUUUAGUGACCUUCCGCAAUGUACAUAUGGUUGACAUAACAAUGUAUAUUGAAUAAUAAAAUCUUUCAGUAAACACCUCAUAAAUAGCCUAAAGUUGGUUCUUAUUUUCAACUCUAUCUUGCAGUAUUAGCCAAAUGCAACAAUUUUAUCUUCUACCAAAGCAAUUUCAAUAUGGAAAAAUAUAUAUAUGCUGAAUAUAAAUUUCAAUAUAUAUUCCCAAUAUUAAUGAUUUAUAAAACAACUUACCAACAUAAACAGCGGCAACACGAUCACGAUCUGCCAGCUGAUAAAUUUCCAGGUUGAUUUUCCCUUGAUUACGGCAUCACCUUCGAUUGUAGUCAACAGAGGAACGGAGAAGAAUCCAAUUAGAUCUUCCUUUGGAGAGCUUAAAUUGUAGUCGACUGAAGAAAACUAAAACAACCAAUUUAAAUUCACAAUAGGAGAAGAACAUGAAAAUUGCGGUUGAGAUCCUUGCUCCUGCGUUCUAAUUUUAAUUUAUCCUAUAAAGAAUGAUGAAGAAUUCGCACACCGAAAUUUAUGAGAGAUCCAAUCCUAUUUUUCCGAGAUCCAUCAAUUCUAUAAUUUAUACAUCAAUUCAACUCAAUUUGGAUAAAAUUGCUGAUGCAUCGUGAGAACUUAAACCCAUUUUUUUAUUCAUGAUAGCUUGAAGUCCUUUUUGUGUUUUUUUUUUUUUUUUUU
RNAcentral lists this long non-coding RNA (4084 nucleotides) under Trifolium pratense (red clover). RNAcentral's name for it is "long non-coding RNA (TPRA_LNC008375)". The record is from RNAcentral. Lineage: Eukaryota; Viridiplantae; Streptophyta; Magnoliopsida; Fabales; Fabaceae.